CCUGGCUCAGAGCGAACGCUGGCGGCGUGCCUAACACAUGCAAGUCAGAACGUGAAAAAUGGGGCAACCCUGAGUAAAGUGGCGUACGGGUGAGUAACACGUAGGUAAUCUACCCCAGAGUCUGGAAUAACCUGCCGAAAGGCGGGCUAAUACUGGAUAGAGCGACGGAAUCCGUAAUAGGAUUUUUCGGGAAAGGGAGCCCGCAAGGGCCUUUGCUCUGGGAUGAGCCUGCGUCCCAUUAGCUAGUUGGCGAGGUAAUAGCUCACCAAGGCAAUGAUGGGUAGCUGGUCUGAGAGGAUGAUCAGCCACACUGGAACUGAAACACGGUCCAGACUCCUACGGGAGGCAGCAGUGGGAAUCUUGCGCAAUGGACGAAAGUCUGACGCAGCCACGCCGCGUGAGUGAAGAAGGCCUUCGGGUUGUAAAGCUCUGUCGCCCGGGACGAAAAUCUUUUAGGUGAAUAGCCUAGGAGACUGACGGUACCGGGAGAGGAAGCACCGGCUAACUCCGUGCCAGCAGCCGCGGUAA
Molecule: ribosomal RNA, 528 nt
Filed under: uncultured Syntrophobacteraceae bacterium
Lineage: Bacteria; Pseudomonadati; Thermodesulfobacteriota; Syntrophobacteria; Syntrophobacterales; Syntrophobacteraceae
Description: bacterial SSU rRNA
Rfam family: Bacterial small subunit ribosomal RNA
Source: RNAcentral